This 293-nucleotide small nuclear RNA is filed under the name Neogale vison (American mink). Its description in RNAcentral is "Neovison vison (American mink) 7SK RNA (ENSNVIG00000014183.1)". It matches the Rfam family "7SK RNA". Rfam says of the family: 7SK was discovered as an abundant small nuclear RNA in the mid-70s but a possible function has only recently been suggested. The record is from Rfam by way of RNAcentral. Lineage: Eukaryota; Metazoa; Chordata; Mammalia; Carnivora; Mustelidae.
GGCUCUGAGUGUGGUCUGACUGUGACAUCAGCAUCCCCACUGAUUACUAGGGUUGUUUCAACUGAUUUGGCUGACUGGUCUGGGGUCCAUAUACUUCAUUCACAGCCCCAAAAGCUGGGCAUUGGUGGAGGACGAUGACAUCCCCAGGGAGAUCGAACCGUUUUUGUCAAAAUGGAAAAGACUUUUUUUUUUUUCUUUCAGAAUGCCUUGAUUCAACCUGUGACUAAAGGUCUAAUAGACUACUUUAAAAUGAAAGGCAAAAUUGUCUAACCAAAUGUGUCUGGAAAUUAUGU